AGAGUUUGAUCAUGGCUCAGGAUAAACGCUGGCGGCGUGCCUAACACAUGCAAGUCGAACGUCCUAUCGCUUUUUCGGAAGCGGCAGGAAGUGGCGGACGGGUGAGUAACACAUGGGUACCUGGCCUCAAGUGAGGGAUACCGGCGAGAAAUCGCCGACAAGCCCGCAUGGGCUCGCGCGUGCAAGAGCGCGCGAGCAAAGCCUGCUGCGGUGGGCGCUUGAGGAUGGGCCUGUGGCCGAUUAGCUGGUUGGUGGGGUAAAGGCUCACCAAGGCUGCGAUCGGUAGCUGGUCUGAGAGGACGAGCAGCCACACUGGGAUUGAGAACGGCCCAGACUCCUACGGGGGGCAGCAGUGAGGAAUUUUCCGCAAUGGACGCAAGUCUGACGGAGCAACGCCGCGUGCAGGAGGACGCUUUUCGGAGUGUAAACUGCUUUACUGUGGGACGAGAUCGGACGGUACCACAGCAACAAGCCCCGGCUAACUACGUGCCAGCAGCCGCGGUAAUACGUAGGGGGCGAGCGUUAUCCGGAGUUACUGGGCGUAAAGCGCCCGCAGGCGGUGAGGUACGUUUUGCGUGACAGCUGCUGGCUUAACGAGCAGAGGAUGCGAAAGACGGCCUGACUUGAGGGCCAGAGAGGGACCUGGAAUUCCGGGUGGAGCGGUGAAAUGCGUAGAGAUCCGGAGGAACACCAAAGGCGCAGGCAGGGUCCUGGCUGGUCACUGACGCUGAGGGGCGAAAGCUAGGGGAGCGAACGGGAUUAGAUACCCUAGUAGUCC
Molecule: ribosomal RNA, 778 nt
Filed under: uncultured bacterium
Lineage: Bacteria
Description: bacterial SSU rRNA
Rfam family: Bacterial small subunit ribosomal RNA
Source: RNAcentral